UACGGAAGGCAGCAGUGGGGAAUAUUGCACAAUGGGCGCAAGCCUGAUGCAGCCAUGCCGCGUGUAUGAAGAAGGCCUUCGGGUUGUAAAGUACUUUCAGUCGUGAGGAAGGUGUUAAGGUUAAUAACCUUAGCAAUUGACGUUAGCGACAGAAGAAGCACCGGCUAACUCCGUGCCAGCAGCCGCGGUAAUACGGAGGGUGCGAGCGUUAAUCGGAAUUACUGGGCGUAAAGGGCACGCAGGCGGUUAAUUAAGUUGGAUGUGAAAUCCCCGGGCCUAACCUGGGAAUGGCAUUCAAGACUGGUUAGCUAGAGUCUUGUAGAGGGGGUAGAAUUCCAUGUGUAGCGGUGAAAUGCGUAGAGAUGUGGAGGAAUACCGGUGGCGAAGGCGGCCCCUGGGACAAAGACUGACGCUCAUGUGCGAAAGCGUGGGGAGCAAACAGGGAUUAGAUACC
This 454-nucleotide ribosomal RNA is filed under the name uncultured bacterium. RNAcentral describes it as "bacterial SSU rRNA". It matches the Rfam family "Bacterial small subunit ribosomal RNA", at positions 340 to 786 of the family's 1533-position model. The record is from RNAcentral.